RNAcentral lists this ribosomal RNA (429 nucleotides) under Pseudomonadota bacterium. Its description in RNAcentral is "Proteobacteria bacterium partial 16S ribosomal RNA". It matches the Rfam family "Bacterial small subunit ribosomal RNA", at positions 355 to 776 of the family's 1533-position model. Lineage: Bacteria; Pseudomonadati; Pseudomonadota. The record is from RNAcentral.
UGGGGAAUAUUGGACAAUGGGCGAAAGCCUGAUCCAGCCAUGCCGCGUGUGUGAAGAAGGUCUUCGGAUUGUAAAGCACUUUAAGUUGGGAGGAAGGGCAGUAAGCGAAUACCUUGCUGUUUUGACGUUACCGACAGAAUAAGCACCGGCUAACUCUGUGCCAGCAGCCGCGGUAAUACAGAGGGUGCAAGCGUUAAUCGGAAUUACUGGGCGUAAAGCGCGCGUAGGUGGUUCGUUAAGUUGAAUGUGAAAGCCCCGGGCUCAACCUGGGAACUGCAUCCAAAACGGGCGAGCUAGAGUAGGGCAGAGGGUGGUGGAAUUUCCUGUGUAGCGGUGAAAUGCGUAGAUAUAGGAAGGAACACCAGUGGAGAAGGCGACCACCUGGGCUCAUACUGACACUGAGGUGCGAAAGCGUGGGGAGCAAACAGG